RNAcentral lists this long non-coding RNA (231 nucleotides) under Gossypium barbadense (sea-island cotton). RNAcentral describes it as "long non-coding RNA (GBAR_LNC023068)". Lineage: Eukaryota; Viridiplantae; Streptophyta; Magnoliopsida; Malvales; Malvaceae. The record is from RNAcentral.
AGAAAUUGGUCCAGGAUAUCUUCAAGUGAAGAAAGUUUAUGCCUCAGAGUUCUUAGUUGAAAAAUGAAGAGUUUAUUAAACGUAUGGGAAAAAUUGUAAGAAUAGUUAAAUGUCUUUAAGAUCACGCCAUAAGAGAGUCAUCACCAAUAUGAAGUGUGCUUGGUUUGUAUGAGCAUUUUUCAAUUGGUUCUUGUAACAUGAUUAGUUGGGAGUUAACCAGAUUAAUUUGAC